UACGUAGGGUGCGAGCGUUAAUCGGAAUUACUGGGCGGAAAGCGUACGCAGGCGGUUCGUUGUGUCUGUGGUGAAAGCCCCGGGCUUAACCUGGGAAUGGCCAUGGAAACUGGCGAGCUGGAGUGUGGCAGAGGGGGGUGGAAUUCCGCGUGUAGCAGUGAAAUGCGUAGAGAUGCGGAGGAGCACCGAUGGCGAAGGCAGCCCCCUGGGUUGACACUGACGCUCAGGCACGAAAGCGUGGGGAGCAAACAGG
RNAcentral lists this ribosomal RNA (253 nucleotides) under uncultured bacterium. Its description in RNAcentral is "partial 16S ribosomal RNA". It matches the Rfam family "Bacterial small subunit ribosomal RNA", at positions 524 to 776 of the family's 1533-position model. The record is from RNAcentral.